Molecule: non-coding RNA, 1901 nt
Organism: Chrysemys picta bellii (western painted turtle)
Lineage: Eukaryota; Metazoa; Chordata; Testudines; Emydidae
Source: RefSeq, a predicted model, not a curated record
ACAGUGAAGUAAGGAAGAGAGUUCAAAAUGCAGCAGAGUAACGCCCACCUUUGGCUCCAGAUUGUCCCAGCCUCCCACAGGACAGGGAAGGGAACUGGCUGUAGUGGAGCCAGUCCAGGGGCUGGUGACUUUUGAGAAGGUGGCUGUGUAUUUCACCAAGGAAGAGUGGGCUCUGCUGGACCCCCGUCAAAGAGCCCUCUGCAGAGACGUGAUGCAGGAGAAUGAUGGGAAUGUGACUUCGCUGGCAGGUGAUGCAAUGGUAUGUGAGAAAGAGGAGCAGAAUUCUCAGAAGGAAAACAUUGAGCAAGUGGAUAAACACAGAGCAUCAUUGCAUAGAUCAAAAAGGAAUGUGUCCAGGAGUCAUGAGCAGGGAAACUCCUGUGAGAUUCAGCACAGACCAGAAAGAGAGCAGGGAAACCAUCCAGGGGAGAAAAUGGGUAAAUGUAUUUCCUGCCUGGGAACUCAGAAGGACCAGAAGGAAACCACAACACAGUAGGAAAUCCUCAGGGAAAAGAGAAAAAAUGCGUGCACUGAGCAUGGGAAAAAUUUAUGUGACUACUCAGUCCUUAUAAAGCAUCAGAGAAUCCACACAGGACAGAGGCCCUAUGAAUGCCGUGAGUGUGGGAAAUGCUUCACUAAGAACUCAGCACUUUCUGAACAUCAGAGAAUCCACACAGGGGCGAGGCCCUAUGAAUGCAGUGAGUGUGGAAAAAACUUCACUCUCUGAUCAGCCCUUUUUCACCAUCAGAAAAUCCACACAGGGGAGAGGCCCUAUGAAUGCAGUGAGAGUGGGAAAAGGUUCACUCAAAAAUCAGCUCUUUUUCACCAUCAGAGAAUCCACACAGGUGAGAGGCCCUAUGAAUGCAGUGAGUGUGGGAAAAGCUUCAAUUGCAGCUCGAACCUUAUUAGGCAUCAGGGAAUCGACACAGGGAGAGGACCUAUGAAUACCGUGAGUGUGGGAAAUGCUUCACUAAGAGCUCAGCCCUUUCUGAACAUCAGAGAAUCCACACAGGGGAGAGGCCCUAUGAAUGCAGUGAGUGUGGGAAAACCUUCGCUAGCAGUUCAAUCCUUUCUGAACAUUAGAGAAACGACACAGGUGAGAGGCUCUAUGCAUGCUGCAAGUGUGGAAAUACCUUCUCUUGGCACUCAGCCCAUGUUAGCCAUCAGAGAUGAACACCAUAAAAACCUCUAGGGCUAUCCAUCCUUUUUCUUCCUUAAUACUUUUCCUGAUUCCCACAUAGUAACUUUUAAAGCUCUUUGAACUGUUUGCAGCACCGUUAUCCCUCAGCUUGUCCGAUGAGGGGCCCAUUUUUGCCUUUUGACAUUCACUGUGUUUUGAAGUUGACCUAUUUGUUCUUUCUAUCAACUCCAUUGUCCCAUGACUAUUUCAAGUGUGCCUUUCCUAUCCAGAACCAGGGAGCAUCACAGGUAUACCAUUCUUCCUAUUGCAAAGUUAUUGUUAGAGUCACCAGUGAUACAGUUUGUAUCAUUGCCAGUUGUUCUCAUGUUGCACUGGGUUUUGCUGAAGAGCAGUUAUAUUGGGAACUUUUCAAAUUAUAUUUAAAUGAAGAGGAGCAGGGGCAGGGGAAAAAGUGUCAUUUCAGCCUCUGUGACACUGGAUGGAGAUGGGGAGACUCAGAGAUUCCCUCCUUCCCCAUCACUGCAGAACUGUUACCUUUUGUCUGAGCCAUGCAGAGUUUAUCUUCGUCACAUUCUACCCCUCCACUUCUCAAAGUGUCAUGUGAGGAAGAGUUCUCAGCUGUCUGUGCUUGGAGAUGAUGCUUUGACUUCUUUAAUCCUAUAUCAGAGUCGCUAUGACUAGAGAUGAAAGUGUCAAAGACCUGGAAGGGGAAUUCAAAUGGAUCCCAAACACAGUGUGAUCAUUGGGAGUUUAAAUCCAA